Molecule: unclassified non-coding RNA, 456 nt
Filed under: Hevea brasiliensis (rubber tree)
Lineage: Eukaryota; Viridiplantae; Streptophyta; Magnoliopsida; Malpighiales; Euphorbiaceae
Source: RNAcentral
UCUUCUUCUUCUUCUUAUUUUUUGAUUGAAUCAGACACUGUUUAAUCUGCUUGGAUUUCGAAUUCUAUGGUGUGAAUUUUAUUCUUACCUCUAAGUUCCCAAUCCUUUAUUUAUUUAUUUUUUUGUCAUGUUUUUGAAAUUUCUACGUUGACUUUCGUUGUAAGUUUUUGUUUUGUUUCUUAGUAUGGUAACGGUUCCUGGGAUUCUUAAAUGAAGCUAAGUUCGAUGUUGUGUUCGAUUUUAGGUGAUUUUCACAUCAAUUAUUGUAAGCAAAUUAACUAAUAGGUUUGAUUUGAGGUGGCUGUUUCGGUAUUUUUCAGCAUCAAAUGUAGGAAUAGUGGAAUUCUGGAUCUUAAUUUUGCUUUUAUGGGAGCUUACUAAUUUUUAAUUGGGCGAGGGACGGUGGAAAGUGGGUGUAUGUGCUUUGACGUGUGAAGAGGAGAAGGAUUAUAUAAU